GACAGAGGUGCCAAGCGUUAGGCGGAAUCACUGGGCUUAAAGCGUGUGUAGGCGGGUCGUUAAGUGUCUUGUGAAAUCCCCCGGCUCAACCGGGGAAUGGCUGGGCAUACUGGCGAUCUUGAGCAGUUCAGGGGCAGAUGGAACAAGUGGUGGAGCGGUGAAAUGCGUAGAUAUCACUUGGAACGCCAAAGGUGAAAACAGUCUGCUGGGAAGUUGCUGACGCUGAGACACGAAAGCCAGGGGAGCGAACGGG
Molecule: ribosomal RNA, 253 nt
Filed under: uncultured bacterium
Lineage: Bacteria
Description: partial 16S ribosomal RNA
Rfam family: Bacterial small subunit ribosomal RNA
Source: RNAcentral